CCUACGGGUGGCAGCAGUGGGGAAUAUUGCGCAAUGGGGGCAAGCCUGAUGCAGCAACGCCGCGUGAGUGAAGAAGGCUUUCGGGUUGUAAAGCUCUUUUAUCAGGGAAGAAGAAAGUGACGGUAGCUUAGGAAUAAGCCACGGCUAACUACGUGCCAGCAGCCGCGGUAAUACGUAGGUGGCAAGCGUCAUCCGGAUUUACUGGGUGUAAAGGGAGUGUAGGCGGGACUGCAAGUCAGAUGUGAAAACCACGGGCUCAACCGGGGGACUGCAUUUGAAACUGUAGUGCUUGAGUACUGGAGAGGCAGACGGAAUUCCUAGUGUAGCGGUGAAAUGCGUAGAUAUUAGGAGGAACACCAGUGGCGAAGGCGGUCUACUGGACAGCAACUGACGUUGAGGCGCGAAAGCGUGGGUAGCGAACAGGAUUAGAUACCCGAGUAGUC
Molecule: ribosomal RNA, 443 nt
Filed under: uncultured bacterium
Lineage: Bacteria
Description: partial 16S ribosomal RNA
Rfam family: Bacterial small subunit ribosomal RNA
Source: RNAcentral